UGGGGGAAUAUUGCACAAUGGGCGCAAGCCUGAUGCAGCGACGCCGCGUGAGGGAUGACGGCCUUCGGGUUGUAAACCUCUUUCACCAGGGACGAAGCGCAAGUGACGGUACCUGGAGAAGAAGCACCGGCCAACUACGUGCCAGCAGCCGCGGUAAUACGUAGGGUGCGAGCGUUGUCCGGAAUUACUGGGCGUAAAGAGCUCGUAGGUGGUUUGUCGCGUUGUUCGUGAAAACUCACAACUCAAUUGUGGGCGUGCGGGCGAUACGGGCAGACUAGAGUACUGCAGGGGAGACUGGAAUUCCUGGUGUAGCGGUGGAAUGCGCAGAUAUCAGGAGGAACACCGGUGGCGAAGGCGGGUCUCUGGGCAGUAACUGACGCUGAGGAGCGAAAGCGUGGGGAGCGAACAGGAUUAGAUACCCUGGUAGUCCACGCCGUAAACGGUGGGUACUAGGUGUGGGUUCCUUCCUU
Molecule: ribosomal RNA, 470 nt
Filed under: uncultured bacterium
Lineage: Bacteria
Description: partial 16S ribosomal RNA
Rfam family: Bacterial small subunit ribosomal RNA
Source: RNAcentral